CAGUCGCCACGGUAAUACGUAGGGUGCAAGCGUUAAUCGGAAUUACUGGGCGUAAAGCGUGCGCAGGCGGUUUUGUAAGACAGAGGUGAAAUCCCCGGGCUCAACCUGGGAACUGCCUUUGUGACUGCAAGGCUAGAGUACGGCAGAGGGGGAUGGAAUUCCGCGUGUAGCAGUGAAAUGCGUAGAUAUGCUGAGGAACACCGAUGGCGAAGGCAAUCCCCUGGGCCUGUACUGACGCUCAUGCACGAAAGCGUGGGGAGCAAACAGGAUUAGAGACCCCAGUAGUCCCUGUCUCUUAUAC
This 301-nucleotide ribosomal RNA is filed under the name uncultured bacterium. Its description in RNAcentral is "partial 16S ribosomal RNA". It matches the Rfam family "Bacterial small subunit ribosomal RNA", at positions 509 to 807 of the family's 1533-position model. The record is from RNAcentral.